RNAcentral lists this ribosomal RNA (762 nucleotides) under uncultured bacterium. RNAcentral describes it as "bacterial SSU rRNA". It matches the Rfam family "Bacterial small subunit ribosomal RNA", at positions 28 to 776 of the family's 1533-position model. The record is from RNAcentral.
GAUGAACGCUAGCGACAGGCCUAACACAUGCAAGUCGAGGGGUAACAUUAUUAAAGCUUGCUUUAAUAGAUGACGACCGGCGCACGGGUGCGUAACGCGUAUGCAACCUACCCAUUACAGGAGGAUAGCCCAGAGAAAUUUGGAUUAAUACUCCAUAGUAUUUACUGAAAGCAUUUUCAGUAUUUUAAAAGAUUCGUCUGGUAAUGGAUGGGCAUGCGUAUGAUUAGUUAGUUGGUAGGGUAACGGCCUACCAAGACGACGAUCAUUAGGGGUUCUGAGAGGAUAGUCCCCCACACUGGUACUGAGACACGGACCAGACUCCUACGGGAGGCAGCAGUGAGGAAUAUUGGUCAAUGGGCGAGAGCCUGAACCAGCCAAGUCGCGUGCAGGAAGACUGCCCUAUGGGUUGUAAACUGCUUUUAUAUAGGAAUAAUUGUUUCUACGUGUAGGAAUUUGAAUGUACUAUAUGAAUAAGCACCGGCUAACUCCGUGCCAGCAGCCGCGGUAAUACGGAGGGUGCAAGCGUUAUCCGGAUUUAUUGGGUUUAAAGGGUGCGUAGGCGGGUUCAUAAGUCAGUGGUGAAAGUCUGUCGCUUAACGAUAGAAUUGCCAUUGAAACUGUGGAUCUUGAAUACAGUAGAGGUAGGCGGAAUAUAUUGUGUAGCGGUGAAAUGCAUAGAUACGAUAUAGAACACCUAUUGCGAAGGCAGCUUACUAUGCUGUAAUUGACGCUGAUGCACGAAAGCGUGGGGGAGCGAACAGG